This 70-nucleotide transfer RNA is filed under the name Turdus rufiventris (rufous-bellied thrush). Its description in RNAcentral is "tRNA-Pro". It matches the Rfam family "tRNA". From Rfam's summary of the family: Transfer RNA (tRNA) molecules are approximately 80 nucleotides in length. Their secondary structure includes four short double-helical elements and three loops (D, anti-codon, and T loops). Lineage: Eukaryota; Metazoa; Chordata; Aves; Passeriformes; Turdidae. The record is from RNAcentral.
CAGAAAGUAGUUUAGUUGAAAACGUCAGCUUUGGGAGCUGGUGAGGAAGGUUCGAUUCCUUUCUUUCUGA